CCAGCAUGAGGACUGGUUGGGAAAGUGGAGAUGGGAGCCAGCCAGCCACCCCCGGGAAGCUGAGACCCGGCUGAGAGGAGCAGCCAGCACUGCAGCCUUUGCCACACCACCACCCUAGCGUAACCGGUUCAGAGCCCCCCUCCGUUCUCCCAGAUCUCUGGGCAAGGCUGGGCUCAGCCCCUGUUGGGAAAUUGCCAGAGGGUUCUGCACUGUGUUUUACACCCACGCGCUGCCUCUCAGAGCCCCAGUCUAUAGACUCAGGGCAGUGCCGGAGGACUCUGCUACAGACCAAGGGCUUGGGGAUGUGGCUGGAAUGGCGCCCGACUCCUGUGCUUUGCCGCCAUUAGCUGGGGAGCCGCAGAAAAUAUUGCUG
This is a long non-coding RNA of Mauremys mutica (yellowpond turtle), 373 nucleotides long. RefSeq lists it as uncharacterized. NCBI's taxonomy places the organism in Eukaryota, Metazoa, Chordata, Testudines, Geoemydidae. The record is from RefSeq and is a predicted model, not a curated record. The transcript is spliced from 3 exons.